CAGUCGCCGGUGGUGGCGGAGACUUCCCCUCAGGAAGCCGGGUCUCCGCCUCCUCCUCUAACCCCGCCUCCUCGGCGGCGGAGGCGGCGGUGGCGGCAGCGCCUGUCCCUGCCUCUCCGCCAUCUCCACCCCGGCCUAUUCCCCGGCCGGCGGCGUUGGCGGGGAGGGGGAACAGUAGUUGUAGACGCCCGCCCCUGCCUCAGAGAAGCUUCCUGGUUGUUGCACAGUCUCUCCAUGUGGGGAAAGUUCAUGCUAGAAAACUGAAGCAAUUAAUAGGUGACUAUGAUCAGAUUUCUUCACCAAGUUCUCAGCCUGAGAAGGAG
RNAcentral lists this long non-coding RNA (323 nucleotides) under Neogale vison (American mink). Its description in RNAcentral is "Neovison vison (American mink) lncRNA (ENSNVIG00000017838.1)". Lineage: Eukaryota; Metazoa; Chordata; Mammalia; Carnivora; Mustelidae. The record is from RNAcentral.